AUGGCAGGAAUCUCUCUCAUAUUUUUACUUUUUGUCACAACUCUGUUCUUCACGGGGAGUGUAUCGGACAUCUGCCGAGGACCGCGCUGCUUUUCUGGUCACGACUGGAGCAGACCGUGCGUGGGAGCUCAGUGCCAAGGGCGCACGGACACAUCCGUGUCCCGACGGCAGCUUGACCACUCUGCACAAUCCAGGCAAGGACAAACCUAUCCGACUUACCAACACGACGCUCAUUUCCGUCAGCACAAAGCACAGAGCGCGCCCUUAGCACCGUACACAGUCAUCCAACCUCAGCACGGAGGCUUUACGCAGGCGGCAGGUACGGAUGGCACCAGGAGGACGAACCCGAGGACCAUCACGGCGGAGGUGUUCCACCCUGGCUGUGCCGGGGGCACCUGUCCGACGACUGUCUCUCAUCGCCCCACGAGUGAUGACAGCGCAACGCGGGAGUGCAAAGGCAUUGGAUGCAAACUGCCCUCCCGGAUGCGCCAGAGGAACGGUAAGCUUUGCGUUGGCGACGGCUGCAGCACGCAAGGAGACGACGGGAGAAGAAGCUCGUCACCUGUUCAUGUGACGGACAGAGCGGCACAAUUUCUGGACGAGCUCCCAGACCUGGGGUCGCAACGUGGAGCAUGGAUUCAGCUGACAUGUGACAUGAAACCAGGGAACAAUGACGUUCCCUCAGAGGAUGCUCUAGUCCUGCAGUUGCAGCUGUCUAAGAGUCAGGAAAGGUUCGUCGAGGCCCUCAAGGGCCAACAAAACGAGGUCAAGGAGCUACAGAGGCUGCUCAGUGAGCAGCAAGGAACGUUGGUCAGCCAGCAGAGAGAAAUACUUGACCAGCAGAGGAGGAUGUAUGAGCAGAUGGAGCAAGUAAAGGCUCAGUACAACAUACUGAUGGACAGCAUCAAACAAACAUCUUUCCAGAACCUCCAGGGGGAGCUGGACAGUCGCAUGGAAACCUUGAGUGGGCGGGUUAGAGCUCACCAAGCACAGCAGGCUCUCUCUUUGCACAAAGUGGACAUGGAGGCCACUGUGAUGGAGGACAGAGAUGAAUGUCUUGAAAUAGCUGAUCUGUGCGGAGGUCAACAGAAGUGUCUCAACACUCCAGGUGGAUUCAGAUGCCAGGACAUGACAGAGCGAGAAGCACUUUCAGGAAUGUGCGGCCACGGCUACUUCUUCAACUCAGAGAUGGAUGAGUGUCAAGCCUGCAAUGAGUGUGAUGGAGACACGGUGGUUUCUCCUUGCACUUUUACCACAGACACUGUCUGCUCUGGCCAUGCUGCCGGCCACAGUGCCCUCUCUCAGUCCUGGUCUGGAGAUGUGACUCUGCAGGGGGAAAAAGGACACAUGCUGGCUCAAGCCUUCCUCGGUGUGCAGCUUCACAUACAGGGAAGAGGCGAUGAUCUGGUAUCCACUGAGAGCGGGCAGCUGGUUCUGAGGCAGCAUGGUCUCAUAUGGCUGGAUGAGAAUCUCUCAGUGACCCAUGGUUGCCGCAGCUUCAUCCAAGUGUGUCUGCGCAUGAACAACACAGCCGGCUCUGAAGGUCGUGACCUCAGUGGGGUUCGUGUGGAGCAGCGGGAGGGUAGGUCGCUCCAAGGUGUUAGCAUCAGUGGGGUAGCAGAGGUCGCCCCAGGUCACAUCAUAUCCCUCUUCCUCCGGAGUGCCACCCACCACUGUAACCAAAGCACUGAAGGUCUGCAGCUGUUCGACCCCUCCGUUGCCCCACUCAGCCUCCUCUGGCUCUCGCAUGACACCGGUGCGGUUGCCAUGACAGCACAGGCAAUGGUCUCUGCACAUUACCACACAAACUAUCGCCCAGUCUUCCGUACCACCUCCACCUCUGACCCUUAUGUAGUAGGACUUACUCAUGAUGGUCGCGGGAUCCGGUUUGCAGAGAGUGGCACUGUGCGUUUUGUAUUCCAGCAGGCAUUGUACUCGAUGGGCCAGGCAUGCGUGAGUGAGGGCUUCCAAAUUCUGGCAUACCUCAACCGUAAUGGAACCAGCAUGGAGCUGCUCCGUGCCUUUAAACCAGGUGUCCAUUACCGAGACACAUCAAUAGCACUGUCUGGAGCAGCUCAAGUUGGCCCGGGAGACACACUGGGUUUUGAGAUUCUCUCUCCUGCGCAGUGCAACGUUCGCUUCUUUGGUGACGAAACGGGUAUCAGUAUUCUCAGUUUGGUUUGGGUUCCCGCUGCCAUUUCUUCAUCUCUUUCUGCCUCUGUGGCUAACACCGGCCUUCUCUCUGGAGCAGUUCGUAACAAGCCAUUGUUCUUCCACCAGACCAGUCCUCAAGUGACCCAAAUGGAGCUGCUGGUGAAGGGAUCCGCAGAUCACAGACGAGAUUUUGUAUUCAGAGAGGGCGGUACAGUCAGUGUUGCUCUGGAUCUCAAACUCAUUCACUCCUGCAGUUUGGUCAAGGUGACUCUGCUCAGACGAAGUGAUUUAGAGGGUUCAGGAGAGGGAUCGAGGCCUAUCCCUGUUGCCCAGCAGGUAGCUGGCCAGAUGUCUGAGGGCAGCCAGUGGGCCAGUGUGAGUCUGCGAGCGUCCUUCCAGGUUCACAACGGCACUGCGGUUUUCUUUAUACUAGACUGUGUGCGUGGACGAGUAAACCAGAUCAGCCAUCAAACAGGAAGUGGGGUAUCUGUCCUCUGGGUGGCAUCAUAAUGAAAGCCAGAUAGUAUGAUGUUUCUUCUUAUGGUCAAAAAUCAAACCGUGAAAGUAACGAUUUGACUUUUUGGAGACUUAUUCACUUUCCAGAGAGUUACAAAGGAAGAUUGACACCACUUUCAUCUGUUUUAAUAGAGAAGCAUUAACCAGUAGCUUGUUAGCUUAGUCUGACAUUGUAAACUUGUGGAAAUAGCUUCUAAGAUUGUCCACAAGUAAUCUGUGAGCACCUUUAAACCUAAUUCAUUUGUUUAAUGUAAAAAAUGACCAAUUAAAAAAUCAACACUUUGUGAUUCUUAUGCAGUGUUGUGUAGCUAGACUCCCAGGCUUUGUGCUAAGCUAAGCUAACUGACUUUUGCUUAACUUGCAGACGUCAGAGCAGUGCCAGUCUUUUUGCUUAUUAUUAUUUUAGGUCAGAGUUAACCGUGCUUUCCAAACCUGAAUUUAUCCCUUGAUUUUGGUUUGAGUUUAAAAGAAAAUGUCUUUUAAAAAUGCUAAAUGUGGACUGUAGUGUAUUUAAAUGUAACAUUAUUCAUUAGCUAUAUUUAUAUAACUAUUAAUAUUGUGUCAUGAUUUCUACAUAUGAUAGCACAAAACAACUGUAUUCAUGUGAUAAUUUCUCAUUCUCCAGUUCUUCUUUUUUUAGUUCCAGUUUUUCACGUUUCCCAUUUGUCUGUUUUUUAUUUAUAUAAUUCAGUUUACUCUGUUGACGCCAAAGGAGUUUUAGAUCCUGCCAGUGACUACAGCAUUUUCUGCUGGCACUGAUUCUCAUUCAGGAGUUUUUACCAAGAGCAUGUGUUUCAUGUUAGCCGCCAUUUUCUAAAUGGCUAAAUAUCUACUGCAUGCUUUGUUUAAUGACCACUUUGUGCAUAUUAUGGACUUAAAGUCACUAAGCCUUGUUGAAACUAAAUAUUUUAAAUAAUGUACUGGCGUUUAAUCUUAACUGAACUGUAAUGAAGUGUAUAUUUGAUGUUUUCUUGUUAAUCCAAUAAAAUCACCUUUGUUGUACUGGAUUUUUCUUUAUUGCAAACUUUGUUUGGCAUGAAGUAAAGUCAUUUAAAGUGAGAUAAAGUUUGAAAGAAGAACGUUUGGUUCCUUUAAAUUACAACUUUUUAUU
Oreochromis niloticus (Nile tilapia) is the source of this 3781-nucleotide long non-coding RNA. The record is from Ensembl. NCBI's taxonomy places the organism in Eukaryota, Metazoa, Chordata, Actinopteri, Cichliformes, Cichlidae.